This 587-nucleotide ribosomal RNA is filed under the name uncultured bacterium. RNAcentral describes it as "bacterial SSU rRNA". It matches the Rfam family "Bacterial small subunit ribosomal RNA", at positions 338 to 916 of the family's 1533-position model. The record is from RNAcentral.
CCUACGGGAGGCAGCAGUAGGGAAUCUUCCGCAAUGGACGAAAGUCUGACGGAGCAACGCCGCGUGAACGAUGAAGGCCUUCGGGUCGUAAAGUUCUGUUGUUAGGGAAGAACAAGUGCUAGUUGAAUAAGCUGGCACCUUGACGGUACCUAACCAGAAAGCCACGGCUAACUACGUGCCAGCAGCCGCGGUAAUACGUAGGUGGCAAGCGUUGUCCGGAAUUAUUGGGCGUAAAGCGCGCGCAGGCGGUUUCUUAAGUCUGAUGUGAAAGCCCCCGGCUCAACCGGGGAGGGUCAUUGGAAACUGGGAAACUUGAGUGCAGAAGAGGAAAGUGGAAUUCCAAGUGUAGCGGUGAAAUGCGUAGAGAUUUGGAGGAACACCAGUGGCGAAGGCGACUUUCUGGUCUGUAACUGACGCUGAGGCGCGAAAGCGUGGGGAGCAAACAGGAUUAGAUACCCUGGUAGUCCACGCUGUAAACGAUGAGUGCUAAGUGUUAGAGGGUUUCCGCCUUUAGUGCUGAAGUUAACGCAUUAAGCACUCCGCCUGGGGAGUACGGUCGCAAGACUGAAACUCAAAGGAAUUGACGG